UACGGAGUGUGCAAGCGUUACUCGGAAUCACUGGGCAUAAAGCGCGCGUAGGCGGGUUUCCAAGUCGGUUGUGAAAUCCCUCAGCUCAACUGAGGAACUGCAUCCGAUACUGUUUGUCUUGAGGACGGGAGGGGAGAGUAGAACUUCUGGUGAAGCGGUGAAAUUCGUAGAUAUCGGGAGGAACACCAGUGGCGAAGGCGGCGAUCUGGGUCGAUACUGACGCUGAGGUGCGAAAGCGUGGGGAGCAAACAGG
RNAcentral lists this ribosomal RNA (253 nucleotides) under uncultured bacterium. RNAcentral's name for it is "partial 16S ribosomal RNA". It matches the Rfam family "Bacterial small subunit ribosomal RNA", at positions 524 to 776 of the family's 1533-position model. The record is from RNAcentral.